CCUACGGGAGGCAGCAGUGGGGAAUUUUCCGCAAUGGGGGAAACCCUGACGCAGCAAUACCGCGUGAACGACGAAGCUCUUCGGAGUGUAAAGUUCUGUCAGUGGGGACGAAUUUUUGACGGUACCCACAAAGGAAGCAUCGGCUAACUACGUGCCAGCAGCCGCGGUAAGACGUAGGAUGCAAGCGUUGUCCGGAAUCAUUGGGCGUAAAGCGUUCGUAGGCGGUAUGUCAAGUCUGAUGUUAAAGCCCGGAGCUCAACUCCGGUUCGGCAUUGGAUACUGGCAAACUAGAGUGCAAUAGAGGUAAGGGGAAUUCCUAGUGUAGCGGUGAAAUGCGUAGAUAUUAGGAGGAACACCGGUGGCGAAAGCGCCUUACUGGGUUGUAACUGACGCUGAGGAACGAAAGCCAGGGUAGCAAAUGGGAUUAGAUACCCCUGUAGUC
RNAcentral lists this ribosomal RNA (442 nucleotides) under uncultured cyanobacterium. RNAcentral describes it as "bacterial SSU rRNA". It matches the Rfam family "Bacterial small subunit ribosomal RNA", at positions 338 to 795 of the family's 1533-position model. Lineage: Bacteria; Bacillati; Cyanobacteriota. The record is from RNAcentral.